GGAGGUAUAGCUCAGUGGUAGAGUGUUUGCUUAGCAUACAUGAGGUCCUGGAUUCAAUCCACAGUACCUCCG
This 72-nucleotide transfer RNA is filed under the name Camelus bactrianus (Bactrian camel). It matches the Rfam family "tRNA". Rfam says of the family: Transfer RNA (tRNA) molecules are approximately 80 nucleotides in length. RNAcentral also lists the same sequence under 1 other name. Lineage: Eukaryota; Metazoa; Chordata; Mammalia; Artiodactyla; Camelidae. The record is from Rfam by way of RNAcentral.